Molecule: small RNA, 46 nt
Filed under: Desulfomonile tiedjei DSM 6799
Lineage: Bacteria; Pseudomonadati; Thermodesulfobacteriota; Desulfomonilia; Desulfomonilales; Desulfomonilaceae
Description: Acido-Lenti-1 RNA
Rfam family: Acido-Lenti-1 RNA
Source: Rfam by way of RNAcentral
CCCGGCAAUGAAUUACCGGGCUAUUAUCCUACGUCCCUUUGGGACG